CCUACGGGAGGCAGCAGUGAGGAAUAUUGGUCAAUGGGCGCGAGCCUGAACCAGCCAAGUAGCGUGAAGGAUGACUGCCCUAUGGGUUGUAAACUUCUUUUAUAAAGGAAUAAAACGACGCACGUGUGCCUUUUUGCAUGUACUUUAUGAAUAAGGAUCGGCUAACUCCGUGCCAGCAGCCGCGGUAAUACGGAGGAUCCGAGCGUUAUCCGGAUUUAUUGGGUUUAAAGGGAGCGUAGAUGGGUUGUUAAGUCAGUUGUGAAAGCUUGCGGCUCAACCGUAAAAUUGCAAUUGAUACUGGCAGUCUUGAGUACAGUAGAGGUGGGCGGAAUUCGUGGUGUAGCGGUGAAAUGCUUAGAUAUAACGAAGAACCCCGAUUGCGAAGGCAGCUUACUAAUCUGUGACUGACAUUGAGGCUCGAAAGUGUGGGGAUCAAACAGGAUUAGAUACCCGGGUAGUC
Molecule: ribosomal RNA, 460 nt
Filed under: uncultured bacterium
Lineage: Bacteria
Description: partial 16S ribosomal RNA
Rfam family: Bacterial small subunit ribosomal RNA
Source: RNAcentral